GAGGGUAUAGCUCAAGUGGUAGAGUGCAUGACUGGCAUGCACGAGGUCCUGGGUUCAACCCCUAGCACCUCCU
Molecule: transfer RNA, 73 nt
Organism: Camelus ferus (Wild Bactrian camel)
Lineage: Eukaryota; Metazoa; Chordata; Mammalia; Artiodactyla; Camelidae
Rfam family: tRNA
About the family: Transfer RNA (tRNA) molecules are approximately 80 nucleotides in length. Their secondary structure includes four short double-helical elements and three loops (D, anti-codon, and T loops).
Source: Rfam